RNAcentral lists this ribosomal RNA (640 nucleotides) under uncultured bacterium. RNAcentral's name for it is "bacterial SSU rRNA". It matches the Rfam family "Bacterial small subunit ribosomal RNA", at positions 169 to 812 of the family's 1533-position model. The record is from RNAcentral.
CCUCAUGUGGUCGCAAGACUAAAGGCGGGGCAACCUGUCGCUUUCUGAUUGGUCCGCGGCCUAUCAGCUUGUUGGUGAGGUAAUGGCUCACCAAGGCUACGACGGGUAGCUGGUCUGAGAGGAUGACCAGCCACACUGGAACUGAGACACGGUCCAGACACCUACGGGUGGCAGCAGUCGAGAAUCUUUCACAAUGGGGGCAACCCUGAUGGAGCGACGCCGCGUGGAGGAUAAGGUCUUCGGAUUGUAAACUCCUGUCAUGCGAGAGCAAGAUACCUUUAGUAACUUUAAGUUAUUUGAUAGUAUCGCAAGAGGAAGAGACGGCUAACUCUGUGCCAGCAGCCGCGGUAAUACAGAGGUCUCAAGCGUUGUUCGGAAUUACUGGGCGUAAAGGGUGCGUAGGUGGCGUGGCAAGUCAGAUGUGAAAUCCGGGGGCUCAACCUCCGAAUAGCAUCCGAUACUGCCAUGCUAGAGAACUGGAGGGGGAUCUGGAAUUCUCGGUGUAGCAGUGAGAUGCNUAGAUAUCGAGAGGAACACUAGUGGCGAAGGCGAGAUCCUGGACAGUUUCUGACACUGAUGCACGAAGGCCAGGGGAGCGAACGGGAUUAGAUACCCCGGUAGUCCUGGCAGUAAACGGUGC